CGCUGGCGGCGUGCCUAAUACAUGCAAGUCGAACGGUCUUUCUAUGGAAGCUUGCUUCCACUGAGAAGAUAGUGGCGAACGGGUGAGUAACACGUGGGUAACCUGCCCAUAAGAGGGGGGAUAACAUCCGGAAACGGGUGCUAAUACCGCAUAGUUUUCUUGAUCGCAUGAUUGAGAAAGGAAAGACGGCCUUUGUGCUGUCGCUUAUGGAUGGACCCGCGGCGUAUUAGUUAGUUGGUGAGGUAACGGCUCACCAAGACGAUGAUACGUAGCCGACCUGAGAGGGUGAUCGGCCACAUUGGGACUGAGACACGGCCCAAACUCCUACGGGAGGCAGCAGUAGGGAAUCUUCCGCAAUGGACGAAAGUCUGACGGAGCAACGCCGCGUGAGUGAAAGAAGGUUUUCGGAUCGUAAAACUCUGUUGUCAGAGAAGAACAAGUCGGAGAGUAACUGCUCCGGCCUUGACGGUAUCUGACCAGAAAGCCACGGCUAACUACGUGCCAGCCGCCGC
Molecule: ribosomal RNA, 512 nt
Filed under: uncultured bacterium
Lineage: Bacteria
Description: bacterial SSU rRNA
Rfam family: Bacterial small subunit ribosomal RNA
Source: RNAcentral